Molecule: long non-coding RNA, 1634 nt
Organism: Oryctolagus cuniculus (rabbit)
Lineage: Eukaryota; Metazoa; Chordata; Mammalia; Lagomorpha; Leporidae
Source: Ensembl
AUGUCCCUCAUGCAGGUGUAUAUUUCCAUUCAUUCCUCUGCUCCUGCGGCAGCCAUGAUGGAGCCACAUCUGCAUGUCAAGCACUGUCCUGGGUGCGAGGGACAGGGACAGGAGGGCAUUCACAGCCUCCCAGGAGCCGGUGAGAGACAGAGACAGACAGUUCCCUGCAGCCUGUCCAGAGGUGAGACUCAGCCGCAUGCAGGGCUGGGCGCAGUGUGGCGCGCGGAGGGCCCGCCCCCAGUCCACGGGGCUGCUGUCUCAGACAUCACACAGUUCGCUUGCCGAGAUGAUGGGAAAAUACCGAAAUUGCGCAGCGCCCCAAAGCUGAGGAGGAGGUGUGAAUGCCCUCCUCACAGGUGUGAACACCCUCCUCGAAAGUAUGAACACCCUCCUCACAGGUGCUUACCUCCCUACUGGAACAUGACAGGUAAGUCUGACUGGCCAGCUCUUCUCCACAGCUCAGGGUCAGGGACUCCUCCACAUUUGGUACACUGGAGAGAGAGCCAAGUGGACCUGGAUCAAAGUCCCAGCUUUGCCUCACUACCCAUUUGAUCUUAAUCACUUCUUGAAACCUUCCCCUAAAAUGUUCAUGUCACAGAUUUGCUGUAUUAAAUGAGGCUGUCUCUCUCUCUUUCUCUCCUUCUCUCUUUCUCUCUCUCUCUCUCUCACACACACACACACACACACACACUCUGCUGAUGUUAGCUUCUAUCUUCAUUCAGGCUUCUAGAAAACAGGCUCUAUGAGAUUUGUGUGCAUUUUUAAACAGCUAUCUAAAUAUAAGGCCUAUCAUAUUUUAUUUUAUUUAAAAGGCAGAGAAACAAAGACCAAAAGUGAGAGAUCUUCCAUCUGCUAGUUCACUCCCCAAAUGCCUGCAAUAGCCAGGGCUGGACCAAGCUGAAGCCAGGAGCCUGGAAUUCAGUCCAAUUCUUCCAUCUGAGUGCUCGGGACCCAGCUACUUGAUCCAUCACCUGCUGCCCCCCAGUUGGAAGCCAGAAUUGGAAGUGAGGCUGGCAGUCACAGCCAGGCACUCCCAUACGGGAUACAGAAGUCCCAAAUGGUGUCUUGAUCUCUGCGUGAAGCCCCCACCCCUGUUUGCAUCUGUUGAGGUGUUUCUGGAAUGAAGCCCCCUGAGAGGGGGAGUUUGGGGAGUUGAGGGAGAUGAGGGACUGCCACACCAUGGCCACCAAGGCCUCAGCCAACCUCAUUAUGAGCUCAGGGCAGGUGGCCCUGCAGAGAUGUCCCACCUGAAGGUGGGGCCAGGCCUCUGUCUGCAGCGAGCUGUCACUGGAUGGCACUGCGGCUCUGGGCAGCUGAGGGCCUUUCUGGAAGGAAGGGAUCUGACCUCGCAGUCAGCACCGGGCAGCUGGGGCCGUGAGUGCCUCCAUCCUGGCUGACAUACGGCCAUGUACCCAGGCACCCACUGCACCCUCACCCCCAACCCCAAAACGGAUGCAAGUUUUCAACAAGUGAGCUAAGGUGACCUUAGCAGAGAGGCAACUGGGGGACCAGAGGCCAGGCUGCUGUAGGAGCCCAAGCUCUUCCUUAAAUGGGUGGAUUUGGACAAGUCUGCUCAUCUUUUGUUACUAGACUUUCUCAUUAAAAAAUAAAACAAAAAUAUAUUUAUUUAUUCA